CGCGUAGGUGGUUUGUUAAGUUGGAUGUGAAAUCCCCGAGCUUAACUUGGGAAUUGCAUUCGAUACUGGUUGGCUAGAGUGUGGGAGAGGAUGGUAGAAUUCCAGGUGUAGCGGUGAAAUGCGUAGAGAUCUGGAGGAAUACCGAUGGCGAAGGCAGCCAUCUGGCCUAACACUGACGCUGAGGUGCGAAAGCAUGGGGAGCAAACAGGAUUAGAUACCCCCGUA
Molecule: ribosomal RNA, 225 nt
Filed under: uncultured Acinetobacter sp.
Lineage: Bacteria; Pseudomonadati; Pseudomonadota; Gammaproteobacteria; Moraxellales; Moraxellaceae
Description: partial 16S ribosomal RNA
Rfam family: Bacterial small subunit ribosomal RNA
Source: RNAcentral